Molecule: ribosomal RNA, 274 nt
Filed under: uncultured bacterium
Lineage: Bacteria
Description: partial 16S ribosomal RNA
Rfam family: Bacterial small subunit ribosomal RNA
Source: RNAcentral
AUACGGAGGGGGCUAGCGUUGUUCGGAAUUACUGGGCGUAAAGCGCGCGUAGGCGGGCUGGUCAGUCAGGGGUGAAAUCCCGGGGCUCAACCCCGGAACUGCCUUUGAUACUGCCAGUCUAGAGGUCGAGAGAGGUGAGUGGAAUUCCGAGUGUAGAGGUGAAAUUCGUAGAUAUUAGGAGGAACACCAGUGGCGAAGGCGGCUCACUGGCUCGAUUCUGACGCUGAGGUGCGAAAGCGUGGGGAGCAAACAGGAUUAGAUACCCCUGUAGUCC